Molecule: ribosomal RNA, 484 nt
Filed under: Truljalia sp. Chi
Lineage: Eukaryota; Metazoa; Arthropoda; Insecta; Orthoptera; Gryllidae
Description: partial 16S ribosomal RNA
Rfam family: Bacterial large subunit ribosomal RNA
Source: RNAcentral
CUUCUUGUUUAUAUAGGAAGUCGUGCCUGCUCACUGUAAAAUAAAGAGCCGCGGUAUUUUGACCGUGCAAAGGUAGCAUAAUCAUUAGUUUUUUAAUUAAGAACUGGAAUGAAGGGUUUGACGAAAUAAUUACUGUCUUGAAAUUAUUUAUUGAAUUUUACUUUUGGGUUAAAAGGCUUAAAUUAUGAUGGGGGACGAUAAGACCCUAUAGAUCUUUAUAUUUUAUUAUAAAUUAAUUGAUUUAGUUGUUUAUUUAUAAUAUAUAAUAAAUUAUUUGAUUGGGGUGAUGAGGGAAUAAUUUAACUUCUCUAAGAAUAACAUAGAUAUAUGAAAUAUUUAUCUUUUAAUAGGAAAUUAAGAUUAAGAUACCUUAGGGAUAACAGCGUUAUAUUAUUGGAGAGAUCUAAUCGAUAAUAAUGAUUGCGACCUCGAUGUUGGAUUAAAAUUACUUAUGGGUGUAAAAGCUUAUGAAGUUGGUCUGUUC